UAACUGAAGAGUUUGAUCAUGGCUCAGAUUGAACGCUGGCGGCAGGCUUAACACAUGCAAGUCGAGCGGAGAGAGGUAGCUUGCUACUGAUCUUAGCGGCGGACGGGUGAGUAAUGCUUAGGAAUCUGCCUAUUAGUGGGGGACAACAUUU
This 151-nucleotide ribosomal RNA is filed under the name Acinetobacter pittii. RNAcentral describes it as "partial 16S ribosomal RNA". It matches the Rfam family "Bacterial small subunit ribosomal RNA", at positions 1 to 151 of the family's 1533-position model. Lineage: Bacteria; Pseudomonadati; Pseudomonadota; Gammaproteobacteria; Moraxellales; Moraxellaceae. The record is from RNAcentral.